RNAcentral lists this ribosomal RNA (253 nucleotides) under uncultured bacterium. RNAcentral's name for it is "partial 16S ribosomal RNA". It matches the Rfam family "Bacterial small subunit ribosomal RNA", at positions 524 to 776 of the family's 1533-position model. The record is from RNAcentral.
UACGUAGGGGGCAAGCGUUGUCCGGAUUUAUUGGGCGUAAAGCGCGUGUAGGCGGCCAUGUAGGUCUGACGUGAAAUCCCGAGGCUCAACCUCGGCCGGUCGUUGGAAACCACAUGGCUAGAGUCCGGAAGAGGAGAGUGGAAUUCCUGGUGUAGCGGUGAAAUGCGCAGAUAUCAGGAAGAACACCGAUGGCGAAGGCAGCUCUCUGGGUCGGCCCUGACGCUGAGGCGCGAAAGCGUGGGGAGCGAACGGG